Molecule: ribosomal RNA, 502 nt
Filed under: Nitrospirillum amazonense
Lineage: Bacteria; Pseudomonadati; Pseudomonadota; Alphaproteobacteria; Rhodospirillales; Azospirillaceae
Description: bacterial SSU rRNA
Rfam family: Bacterial small subunit ribosomal RNA
Source: RNAcentral
UUGACUAGGCCCACGCGCAAGCGCAUGGCUGUAUGUUGAUGUAAUUCGAGAGUCACGCGAUACACCUUCGUAUUCUUGACGUGUCUGGCAUGCAGUAAGAGAUGUGCAUAGUUCUGGCAAGAGAGUCAGGUACACAGGUGCUGCAUCGCUGUCGUCAGCUCGUGUCGCUGAGAGUGUUGAGCAACACCACGCAACGAGCGCCACCCUUGUCAUUAGUUGCUCCGACGUGGGCACUCUAAUGAGACUUCCGCUGACAAUCCCCACGGAGGUGGGGAUGACGCCAAGUCCUCAUCACCCUGAGGGGUAGGGCUUCCCACGUCACUCAAUGGUAGGAACAGAGGGACACCAAACCACGCGGGGGAGCCAAUUCCACAAAUCCCAUUUUAGUUCGGCUAGCACUCUGCAACUCGAGUGCAUGAAGUUGGAAUGGCUGGUAAUCGCGGAUCAGCAUGUUACGGAGUAUACGUUUAUGGUUUUUGUUCACAACGCUCGUCAUACCGUG